Pogona vitticeps (central bearded dragon) is the source of this 1553-nucleotide long non-coding RNA. The record is from Ensembl. Lineage: Eukaryota; Metazoa; Chordata; Lepidosauria; Squamata; Agamidae.
AGCUAAACAAGCCAAAAGGAAAGAGGGGGAAAAAAAGUCUAAACAAAAUGGGAUCUGCACAAACUUAAAAGAAAGUAUAAAAUAAAAAUAUAAUCAAAUACCUCCAAAGCCUGUUAAUCAAAUCUAAAAGAACCGCCGAUCAGCUGUUCGGCGGCUUCAAAAUGGCCGCCGCAAUACCCGAUCUUCGCAAUGCGGGUUUUCCCCAUUGCGAAGAUCGGGUAUGUUUCCAUAUAGCGAUCCCGAAAAAGGGAUCGCUAUACGGAAACAUCGCUAUACAGUGCACUCGUUAAGUGAGGCACCACUGUAUAUAGUAUCAUAAAAGAGGUUAUUAACACUGAUAUCUGGGUCACUUUUUAAAAAAAGCCAAACAUGUCUCAACAGGAGAGGGUGGAGUGGUCAUUUUAUUACCUUUUUGUAAAACCACUGAGGAGACCAUUUUUCAACUGCCCUGAUGAUCUCCCUUUGCCCCAGAGUCUCUUCAGAUCAACCCAUGAAUCUGAAACUGCAACAACAAGGUUCCCAGAGCAGAAUAUAAACCAAGAAAGAAAGAAAGAAAGAAAGAAAGAAAGAAAGAAAGAAAGAAAGAAAGAAAGAAAGAAAGAAAGAAAGAAAGAAAGAAAGAAAGAAAGAAAGAGUUUCCAAAGCUCAAGCCAAACCGCAAUGAAAAUGAAGGGAAAGGAAAGAAAAGAAAAUUUAAAAAAAGAAUGUUUGUAUGCCAUUAAAACAAGGUUUUCCCCUUUCUCCAGUUAUGUGGCUGCCUUUGUAACAUCUUUGACAGGAUAACCAAGGGUCUGCUCCUGUCACUUUGGGGCACUUUUAAGAGAGCUGUGGGAAUGGGAAGGUGAAAGGAACGUGUGGGGAGGGGAGAGGUGUGGGGAGAAGAGAGUUAUACUCAGGGCUUUUCUCCGUCAAAACCAGAACCCCACUGCUGGUAAUGUGAGAGCGCUACAUCAGGCGCCAAAUGGAUAAGACUGUAGACAGGGAGGCCAAAGCACUGAUCCCUGCCAGCACCUGCAGAUAGGAGACAAAUAAUUGGCACAUGUUAAAAAGAGAGAGAGAAAGAGACUUGUUAGAUGUCCAUAUUUUCUAACAGCGUCUGGCAAGGGUCCCUGUGAGGAAUUUAAUCAGCAAGAGUUGUUUAAAAUGGGCUUUGAACAACAAGCCCUGCACUGCUAGUAAUGAACUUCAUAUCAUCUGCAACUCCUGUUUGCUGACGACAUUCAAUUUGUUAAUUCUGCAGCUGGUGAUAGGGGUCAGAUAGGAAAGUGACGAUUGUUUUUUGACGUUCCAACCCCUGCUCACAUCUUCCUAAUUAAUCCUUUUAGAAGCAACCAGCCGACAGAGAGGUGUGGAGCUGAGGGAGGAGGACGCGAGGGCCAAAGGGGAAAGGAGACGGAGCUGCUAAUGCUGCCCUCUACUUUCUUAUCUGGCUGUCUGAAAUGCAGGAUGGAGGGGAAAUGGUGGAUAAGAAUACAGCUGAAGCCAGAAUAUUCAUAAAUGCAGCAAAAGGAUUUCUGUCGGGUUUUUCUCACUGAAGCGAUAUCACACACACU